Molecule: transfer RNA, 95 nt
Filed under: Leifsonia poae
Lineage: Bacteria; Bacillati; Actinomycetota; Actinomycetes; Micrococcales; Microbacteriaceae
Description: tRNA-Gly
Source: RNAcentral
CGCGGGACAGCCGGGGGUCGUCGCGGCCCUCGAUGCCGCCGGUGCGGGUGUUCUCAGCCAUUGCGUCUCCUCAGUUCGAUGCCGGCGCCUGCGAC